ACGCGGAUCGGUUUCAUUCCACAGCCGGGCAGAAAGUCAACUCGCAACUGUUUUUAUUCACGACAUAGACGUUUUUUUUAAUACCUCACAAGAUCGGGGAGGAUGUUGUUGGCAAGUUCCAUGCACUGCACAGACCAACCGCCUCCCAAUCAUGACGUUUGAGGGUAAACCGGCCUGGGAGCUGGGAGACCAGACAAGGAUUUUCUGCCCAGAGCCAGUGACUCAGAGCCCCCCCUGACUGCUGAGAAACGGACGUCCCGCUGACCAGGGACAUGUCACAUGAAAGGGCCCACAGCCUCCGUUGUUUACUGGGCGCAUUGCUGUACUCCGCAGCCUGCCAGCUCAGAAGACAAUGGUAACAUGAAGCAGGUCUGAUAGUCAUCUCUGGCUGGUACGCCGUUCCUAAAGCGUUCCCCCUUUUCUUCCCCUUGGA
This is a long non-coding RNA of Sardina pilchardus (European sardine), 433 nucleotides long. RefSeq lists it as uncharacterized. The transcript is spliced from 3 exons. Lineage: Eukaryota; Metazoa; Chordata; Actinopteri; Clupeiformes; Clupeidae. The record is from RefSeq and is a predicted model, not a curated record.